RNAcentral lists this ribosomal RNA (253 nucleotides) under uncultured bacterium. RNAcentral describes it as "partial 16S ribosomal RNA". It matches the Rfam family "Bacterial small subunit ribosomal RNA", at positions 524 to 776 of the family's 1533-position model. The record is from RNAcentral.
UACAGAGGUCUCAAGCAUUGUUCGGAUUCAUUGGGCGUAAAGGGUGCGUAGGCGGCGCGGUAAGUCGGGUGUGAAAUCUUGGAGCUUAACUCCGAAACUGCAUUCGAUACUGCCGUGCUUGAGGACUGGAGAGGAGACUGGAAUUUACGGUGUAGCGGUGAAAUGCGCAGAUAUCGGGAGGAACACCGGCGGCGAAGGCGGCACUCUGGGCCGGUACUGACGCUGAGGAGCGAAAGCGUGGGGAGCAAACAGG